Molecule: non-coding RNA, 399 nt
Organism: Paramuricea clavata
Lineage: Eukaryota; Metazoa; Cnidaria; Anthozoa; Malacalcyonacea; Plexauridae
Source: the annotation of a GenBank genome assembly
GGUAAUUGUAAAACAAUUGACCAUUCUGACGUGUAACCCUUUGCCGUACCUUGCAAAGUUUAUUAGGAAGAAGAUGGUGCAGUUUGUGUUGCGGGUCAGACAUUUUACUGAUAAGAUCAAUGCACAUAGUAUUGCAACGUUGUUAGAUUAGCAGGAAUGAUGAGACAUAUCAUGUGGUUGUACUUAAUAUUGACUAUGACUUAAUAUUGACUAAUUGUGAUGUUGGUACAGCCUAUAGCUACCCAGAUACUGUUAUUACAUGACUAGAGUGAAUAGCUUAAAACGUAAAUUUGAUUACUAAUUUCAAACUGCAAGCUAGGGUAGUGAACCAUUACAGAAAGCGUGGGGAGGACCAUUCUCGUCCCCAGAGUCAUUUUUACUCGGUCACUCGUUGAAAAU